RNAcentral lists this ribosomal RNA (503 nucleotides) under uncultured bacterium. RNAcentral describes it as "bacterial SSU rRNA". It matches the Rfam family "Bacterial small subunit ribosomal RNA", at positions 28 to 517 of the family's 1533-position model. The record is from RNAcentral.
GAUGAACGCUAGCUACAGGCUUAACACAUGCAAGUCGAGGGGAAACGAUAGAGAAAGCUUGCUUUUUCUAGGCGUCGACCGGCGCACGGGUGAGUAACGCGUAUCCAACCUGCCCAUCACUUGGGGAUAACCUUGCGAAAGUAAGACUAAUACCCAAUGACGUCUCUAGAAGACAUCUGAAAGAGAUUAAAGAUUUAUCGGUGAUGGAUGGGGAUGCGUCUGAUUAGCUUGUUGGCGGGGUAACGGCCCACCAAGGCGACGAUCAGUAGGGGUUCUGAGAGGAAGGUCCCCCCACAUUGGAACUGAGACACGGUCCAAACUCCUACGGGAGGCAGCAGUGAGGAAUAUUGGUCAAUGGACGAGAGUCUGAACCAGCCAAGUAGCGUGCAGGAUGACGGCCCUAUGGGUUGUAAACUGCUUUUAUAAGGGAAUAAAGUGAGUCUCGUGAGACUUUUUGCAUGUACCUUAUGAAUAAGGACCGGCUAAUUCCGUGCCAGCAGCCG